CAGUCGCCGCGGUAAUACGAAGGGUGCAAGCGUUAAUCGGAAUUACUGGGCGUAAAGCGUGCGUAGGCGGUGAGUUAAGUCUGCUGUGAAAUCCCCGGGCUCAACCUGGGAAUGGCAGUGGAUACUGGCUCGCUAGAGUGUGUCAGAGGAUGGUGAAUUCCACGUGUAGCAGUGAAAUGCGUAGAGAUGUGGAGGAAUACCGAUAGCGAAGGCAGCCCCCUGGGCCAAUACUGACGCUCAUGCACGAAAGCGUGGGGAGCAAACAGGAUUAGAUACCCCUGUAGUCCCUGUCUCUUAUACC
Molecule: ribosomal RNA, 301 nt
Filed under: uncultured bacterium
Lineage: Bacteria
Description: partial 16S ribosomal RNA
Rfam family: Bacterial small subunit ribosomal RNA
Source: RNAcentral